GGGGAUGUAAUGGUUUCGACAGGGUGAGAGCAUAUCGUGCGAUGCGUGUCGUGCUUCGCCGGUGGCGCACGUAAAUUCAACUGGCAUCUUACAAGUGGCAACACUUACAACUAUGCAAUGGCUGCCUAACUUAGAGUAGCCAUUCUUCAUCCGCCCGGCGUGUGUCUGUUCAUGGCGGUUCGCGGGUGUAACCUCUAACAGAACGAUGAAAUAAUGCGGCGCAGGUUGUUUCAUCUGAUUCACUGCCUCUAGCGAUUGUCUGCCUGUCGUUUGGCGAAGACGAAAGCGAAUGCCGUAAAGCGACUACACACGUAGUAUCAGCGAUGGGCGCACUUUGGACAGGGGUUCGAUUCCCCUCAUCUCCACGU
This 368-nucleotide transfer-messenger RNA is filed under the name Bacteroidota (CFB group bacteria). RNAcentral describes it as "PH2015 sp004292595 Standard tmRNA". It matches the Rfam family "transfer-messenger RNA". Rfam says of the family: Bacterial tmRNA, also known as 10Sa RNA or SsrA, is named for its dual tRNA and mRNA-like properties. RNAcentral also lists the same sequence under 1 other name. Lineage: Bacteria; Pseudomonadati. The record is from RNAcentral.